RNAcentral lists this ribosomal RNA (488 nucleotides) under uncultured bacterium. RNAcentral's name for it is "bacterial SSU rRNA". It matches the Rfam family "Bacterial small subunit ribosomal RNA", at positions 903 to 1397 of the family's 1533-position model. The record is from RNAcentral.
AAAGGAAUUGACGGGCACCCGCACAAGCGGUGGAGCAUGCUGUUUAAUUCGAAGAUACGCGAAGAACCUUACCUAGACUUGACAUCCCUGGCAAAGGCAUAGAAAUAUGCUGGAGGUUAUCCGGGAGACAGGUGGUGCAUGGUUGUCGUCAGCUCGUGUCGUGAGAUGUUCGGUUAAGUCCGCUAACGAGCGCAACCCUUGUCCUUAGUUGCUAACAUUAAGUUGAGAACCCUAAGGAGACUGCCAGUGAUAAGCUGGAGGAAGGUGGGGAUGACGUCAAAUCAUCAUGCCCCUUACGUCUAGGGCUACAGGCGUGCUAUAAUGGCCAUUAUAAAGAGAUGCAAUACUGUGAAGUGGAGCUAAACUCCAAAGAUGGUCUCAGUUCGGAUUGAAGUCUGCAACUCGACUUCAUGAAGUUAGAAUCGCUAGUAAUCCUGAAUCAGAAUGUCAGGGUGAAUACGUUCCCGGGUGUUGUACACACCGCCCGU